This 470-nucleotide ribosomal RNA is filed under the name uncultured microorganism. Its description in RNAcentral is "bacterial SSU rRNA". It matches the Rfam family "Bacterial small subunit ribosomal RNA", at positions 9 to 524 of the family's 1533-position model. The record is from RNAcentral.
GAGUUUGAUCCUGGCUCAGAGCGAACGCUGGCGGCAGGCCUAACACAUGCAAGUCGAACGAACUCUUCGGAGUUAGUGGCGGACGGGUGAGUAACACGUGGGAACGUGCCUUUUGGUUCGGAAUAACUCAGGGAAACUUGUGCUAAUACCGAAUGUGCCCUUCGGGGAAGGAUUUAUCGCCAUUAGAGCGGCCCGCCGUCUGAUUAGCUAGUUGGUGAGGUAAAGGCUCACCAAGGCGACGAUCAGUAGCUGGUCUGAGAGGAUGAUCAGCCACAUUGGGACUGAGACACGGCCCAAACUCCUACGGGAGGCAGCAGUGGGGAAGUCUUGCGCAAUGGGCGAGAGCCUGACGCAGCCAUGCCGCGUGAAUGAUGAAGGUCUUAGGAUUGUAAAAUUCUUUCACCGGGGACGAUAAUGACGGUACCCGGAGAAGAAGCCCCGGCUAACUUCGUGCCAGCCGCCGCAGUAAC